UAUGUGAUCGUCUCUCGCAUAUCAAUAAGCGGAGGAAAAGAAACUAACAAGGAUUCCCCUAGUAACGGCGAGUGAAGCGGGAAGAGCUCAAAUUUGAAAUCUUAAAGGGUUUCCCUUUACGAAUUGUAGUUUAAAGAAGCGUUUUCUGUUGAGGUUUUGGUAAAAGUUCUUUGGAAUAGGACAUCAUAGAGGGUGAGAAUCCCGUAUUUGACCUUUACUUUCAACUUUGUGAUACACUUUCAAAGAGUCGGAUUGUUUGGGAAUGCAGUCCAAAAUGGGUGGUAAAUUUCAUCUAAAGCUAAAUAUUGGCGAGAGACCGAUAGCGAGCAAGUACCGUGAGGGAAAGAUGAAAAGAACUUUGAAAAGAGAGUUAAACAGUACGUGAAAUUGUCAAAAGGGAAGCGUUUGACACCAGUGUUGUUUUUCUGAAAAUCAAUUAAAGAACUGUUUAUGCUAAGCUGUUUAGACUUUAUCAGCUAUCUGUUUAGUUUUGAGCUUUUCUUUAAUGCACUUUUCAGUUAACAAGUCAACAUCAAUUUCUUUUGCUGUAAAAAAGCUUGAGGAAGGUGGCUUGAGAUUCGUCUUAAGUGUUUAUAGCCUCUUGCCUAUGCAGUCGGAGAGAUUGAGGUCUGCAGCGUAGAUCCUUCGGGGCUAAAUGCAUUUGUGCUAAGUUAUAGCAUUUUAUAGACAACUUGUUGACUAUGAUUUGUCUUGUAGCUUACUCGCUUAUGUUAUUUUACCUACGCUUAGGAUGUUGAAGACUCUACAGAGAU
RNAcentral lists this ribosomal RNA (773 nucleotides) under uncultured Neocallimastigales. RNAcentral's name for it is "partial large subunit ribosomal RNA". It matches the Rfam family "Eukaryotic large subunit ribosomal RNA", at positions 24 to 632 of the family's 3401-position model. Lineage: Eukaryota; Fungi; Neocallimastigomycota; Neocallimastigomycetes; Neocallimastigales. The record is from RNAcentral.